CUGAGAGUUUGAUCCUGGCUCAGAACGAACGCUGGCGG
RNAcentral lists this ribosomal RNA (38 nucleotides) under Hemiselmis tepida. RNAcentral's name for it is "partial Bacterial small subunit ribosomal RNA". Lineage: Eukaryota; Cryptophyceae; Cryptomonadales; Hemiselmidaceae. The record is from RNAcentral.